This 270-nucleotide ribosomal RNA is filed under the name uncultured archaeon. RNAcentral's name for it is "partial 16S ribosomal RNA". It matches the Rfam family "Archaeal small subunit ribosomal RNA", at positions 477 to 747 of the family's 1478-position model. The record is from RNAcentral.
CAGCACCUCAAGUGGUCAGGAUGAUUAUUGGGCCUAAAGCAUCCGUAGCCGGCGCUGUAAGUUUUCGGUUAAAUCUGUACGCUCAACGUACAGGCUGCCGGGAAUACUGCAGCGCUAGGGAGUGGGAGAGGUAGACGGUACUCGGUAGGAAGGGGUAAAAUCCUUUGAUCUAUUGAUGACCACCUGUGGCGAAGGCGGUCUACCAGAACACGUCCGACGGUGAGGGAUGAAAGCUGGAGAAGCAAACCGGAUUAGAUACCCGAGUAGUCC